CAGGGCAUUUGAACAUCUGCUCUCCAAAGUGGAAAACUUGGAUCUGUCUCAAGUGAUUUCAGUCCAACACAUAACUUUCUUUUUCUGCCUCUUUUAAACUUCUUGGAGUGCCAAAGUCUUCUUGCCAAACAUAAUGGCUAUCUGCUAUAUUUUAACAAGACAAUGGAGCUAAAGUAUAUUCUUCAGUCCAAAGUUUUCCAUCAGAAAUAACACAAAGGGACGCUCAGGUUUUUUAAUCCCAGUAUUUCCAAAUCAUUCGAAAUGAAAUCGUCUCCAUUGUGGUCCCUAGACCAACACUGGCAUCACCUGGGGCCUUGUUGGAAACGCAGAGACACAGGCUCACCCAGACCUGCUGGAUUAAAGGUCCACAGAUGCAGCCGGAGAAGCCCUGGCAGACCAGGUGACCGAGGCAGGAGACAGACCUUCAGUGGACUGCACCAACAGACUCCCUUGUCCCCUGGCUUUGGUUGGGUACAGUCAAUGGAAGAAAACAGCAGGGGAGAGGAAUCAGAGAAG
Molecule: long non-coding RNA, 516 nt
Organism: Talpa occidentalis (Iberian mole)
Lineage: Eukaryota; Metazoa; Chordata; Mammalia; Eulipotyphla; Talpidae
Exons: 3
Source: RefSeq, a predicted model, not a curated record